This 327-nucleotide unclassified non-coding RNA is filed under the name fungal sp. RNAcentral describes it as "partial internal transcribed spacer region". Lineage: Eukaryota; Fungi. The record is from RNAcentral.
AAGUCGUAACAAGGUUAUCAUUAACACGUAUCCAACGUUAAACCCCCCGUGCACACAGCGAUUUGCUCCCCUCAAUUUCGGUCUUUUGGCAAUCCCUGGUAAAUCAUCGCUGAACAGUUUUGAUUCAGGGAAUCCAAAGGGCCGGGGUAGGGUAUUAAAGUAGUAGUCAGCCGGAAAACGAAGGUGCCUUCUGUCGCGCACUGUGGAAAGGAAGACGCUUUACGAAUCACUGUCCAACGCGGUCAGUGACCGGGUUCCUGGUCCUAGACCCCAUAUUCACGUCGCAGACAGGUAGGGAUACGUCCCACAAUGGAUAUCUUGGUUCUC